RNAcentral lists this ribosomal RNA (328 nucleotides) under uncultured eukaryote. RNAcentral's name for it is "partial 18S ribosomal RNA". It matches the Rfam family "Eukaryotic small subunit ribosomal RNA", at positions 1470 to 1796 of the family's 1831-position model. The record is from RNAcentral.
CCCUUAGAUGUUCUGGGCCGCACGCGCGCUACACUGACACGUUCAUCAAGUCUAUAACCUUGACCGAGAGGUCUGGGUAAUCUUUUAAAAACGUGUCGUGCUGGGGAUAGAUUAUUGCAAUUAUUAAUCUUCAACGAGGAAUUCCUAGUAAACGCAAGUCAUCAACUUGCAUUGAUUACGUCCCUGCCCUUUGUACACACCGCCCGUCGCUACUACCGAUUGAAUGAUUUAGUGAGUACCAGGGACCGAGCGCUUUGGUUGGGUUUCCUUCCCUAGCGCUUGGGAACUGUCGCAAACUUGACCAUUAGAGGAAGUAAAAGUCGUAACA